This 196-nucleotide non-coding RNA is filed under the name Sphingomonas sp. The record is from RNAcentral. Lineage: Bacteria; Pseudomonadati; Pseudomonadota; Alphaproteobacteria; Sphingomonadales; Sphingomonadaceae. RNAcentral also lists the same sequence under 1 other name.
AGGGGCCCGCCCGCGAACGGUUCCCGGAGACGGGAUGAAAAGGGAAGUCGGGAAAGGCUGAAAGGCCCGCACCCGCGCUGCCCCCGCAACUGUGAUCGGCGAGUGCCGUCCACCCAUGCCACUGGAGCGAUCCGGGAAGGCCGGGCGGCACGUUUGACCCGAGAGCCAGGAGACCUGCCGGUCGCACGUCGAUCCA